GACGAACGCUGGCGGCGUGCCUAAUACAUGCAAGUUGAGCGCUGAAGGUUGGUACUUGUACCAACUGGAUGAGCAGCGAACGGGUGAGUAACGCGUGGGGAAACUGCCUUUGAGCGGGGGACAACAUUUGGAAACGAAUGCUAAUACCGCAUAAAAACUUUAAACACAAGUUUUAAGUUUGAAAGAUGCAAUUGCAUCACUCAAAGAUGAUCCCGCGUUGUAUUAGCUAGUUGGUGAGGUAAAGGCUCACCAAUGCGAUGAUACAUAGCCGACCUGAGAGGGGGAUCGGCCACAUUGGGACUGAGACACGGACCAAACUCCUACGGGAGGCAUCAGUAGGGAAUCUUCGGCAAUGGACGAAAGUCUGACCGAGCAACGCCGCGUGAGUGAAGAAGGUUUUCGGAUCGUAAAACUCUGUUGGUAGAGAAGAACGUUGGUGAGAGUGGAAAGCUCAUCAAGUGACGGUAACUACCCAGAAAGGGACGGCUAACUACGUGCCAGCCGCCGCUGUAA
This 513-nucleotide ribosomal RNA is filed under the name uncultured bacterium. Its description in RNAcentral is "partial 16S ribosomal RNA". It matches the Rfam family "Bacterial small subunit ribosomal RNA", at positions 28 to 523 of the family's 1533-position model. The record is from RNAcentral.